RNAcentral lists this long non-coding RNA (508 nucleotides) under Mus caroli (Ryukyu mouse). Its description in RNAcentral is "lncRNA (MGP_CAROLIEiJ_G0005209.1)". Lineage: Eukaryota; Metazoa; Chordata; Mammalia; Rodentia; Muridae. The record is from RNAcentral.
UUCAGGUAGGAACAGAACUUCCUGGCUGGGCGUGCUUGAGAGAUUUGACCAUUCAGUUCCUCGGAGCAGGUGUUCCAGCCUCUGGUGGCCAGUGCUGGGAUCACAGAGCUCUCAACUUAGGUGGCCCUGUGUUUCAGAAUGGAUUCACUGACUCCCGGAAGUGAUUCUAGACAUGACUGCUUGUGGCUACUGAGGUUGCCCUCGGAGGCCAAAGGCGUCAGACAGGACGCCUGGAAGUUGAAUGUACAGAUGGUUGCCAGCUGCCCAACAUGGAUUCUGGGAACCAAACCUUUAGAAUUCAACAAACAAACAAACAAACAAACAACCCAGGGGGCUGGAGAGAUGGCUCAGCACUCAAGAGCACUGACUGCUGCUCUUCCAGAGGUCCUGAGUUCAAUUCCCAGCAACCACAUGGUGGCUCACAACUAUCUGUAAUGGGUUCCAGUGCCCUCUUCUGGUGUGUCUGAAGACAGCAACAUAAAAUAAAUAAAUCUUUUUAAAAACCCAA